This 637-nucleotide ribosomal RNA is filed under the name uncultured Fusobacteriota bacterium. Its description in RNAcentral is "bacterial SSU rRNA". It matches the Rfam family "Bacterial small subunit ribosomal RNA", at positions 82 to 733 of the family's 1533-position model. The record is from RNAcentral. Lineage: Bacteria; Fusobacteriati; Fusobacteriota.
AACUUAGGUUUGGGUGGCGGACGGGUGAGUAACGCGUAAAGAACUUGCCUCACAGGUAGGGACAACAUUUGGAAACGAAUGCUAAUACCUAAUAUUAUGAUAAUAGGGCAUCCUAUAAUUAUGAAAGCUAUAAGCGCUGUGAGAGAGCUUUGCGUCCCAUUAGCUAGUUGGAGAGGUAACGGCUCACCAAGGCGAUGAUGGGUAGCCGGCCUGAGAGGGUGAUCGGCCACAAGGGGACUGAGACACGGCCCUUACUCCUACGGGAGGCAGCAGUGGGGAAUAUUGGACAAUGGACCAAGAGUCUGAUCCAGCAAUUCUGUGUGCACGAUGAAGUUUUUCGGAAUGUAAAGUGCUUUCAGUUGGGAAGAAAGAAAUGACGGUACCAACAGAAGAAGUGACGGCUAAAUACGUGCCAGCAGCCGCGGUAAUACGUAUGUCACGAGCGUUAUCCGGAUUUAUUGGGCGUAAAGCGCGUCUAGGUGGUUAUAUAAGUCUGAUGUGAAAAUGCAGGGCUCAACUCUGUAUUGCGUUGGAAACUGUAUAACUAGAGUACUGGAGAGGUAAGCGGAACUACAAGUGUAGAGGUGAAAUUCGUAGAUAUUUGUAGGAAUGCCGAUGGGGAAGCCAGCUUACUGGA